Molecule: long non-coding RNA, 962 nt
Filed under: Ananas comosus (pineapple)
Lineage: Eukaryota; Viridiplantae; Streptophyta; Magnoliopsida; Poales; Bromeliaceae
Description: long non-coding RNA (ACOM_LNC002592)
Source: RNAcentral
AAAUUACGGAACCCCCAUGUCAAAACACGAUUUUUCACUUUCCUUCCCUAUCAUUUAAAAACCUACACUUUGCCCCCUUGUAAAAUAAAAAAUGUUCACAGGGAGGUACGGUGUGUACUGUGAUAAUAAAAUGACCAUUUUGCCCCUCUCACCAUUGAUGUCUCCUCCCUCAUCUUCCUUAACAGCAGCCUCGAUCGGCCGCGGUUUACACCUCAAUCGGCUGCGAUUUCUCUCCAUUUUCUUCUCCACCUACUCCCCUCUCCUCCUGCACCCUCGCCGCCCCUCGAUUUCGGCGACAGUAGGGUGAAAAUCGAGGUGGGGGUGGAUGGAGAGGUGUAACGGCAACGAGGACGAAGACGAGGCGGCGAAGGAGGGCGAAGGGGUGUUUGUGGGCGCGGACGGGGAUGUGGGCGUGGGUGAGGGCGAGGCAGUGGAGGAGGGCGAGGCGACGAGGCGGCGAAGCAACAGGGAAGGAGACAGAGGGGUAUUUUUAGUAUAAAAAAAUAUUUUAUAAUGGAGGCCUAACAGAUCACUAACGGUAAGAGACAAAAUGCACAUUAUUCAUUUUACAAUGGGGUAAGUGUAGAUUUUUAAAUGACAGGAGGGAAAAGUGAAAAAUUGCAUUUUGAUAGGGGGGUUUUCUGUAAUUUAGCCCUAUUUGUAGGCUAUAAAUAUGAGCUUGAUCUGCUUAACUUUAAUCCUAGAGUGAGUGCUAUUUUACUUACUCUAAUACUUUGUAUAAUACUAGUAAAUUACCUGCGCGAUGCUGCGGAUAUAAAAUUAUUUUUAUAAUAAAUUAUAUAUUUUUUAAUAUUUUUAUAUAGUUUUAUAAGUCUAAUUAUUAAUUAAAUAAAAAAUUAUAUAAAAAUAAUUAUGCGCAAAGUAAAUUUAUACAAUAAUUUAUUUUAUAAAAUUUAUAUGAAAAGAAUUUGAGAUAAAUCUAUCAAAAUAAUUUAAGAAAA